GCCAUAGUAGUAUAACGGCUAUUACUUUUGCUUCCCAAGCAAAGAACGCGAGUUCGACCCUCGUCUAUGGCUCCA
RNAcentral lists this transfer RNA (75 nucleotides) under Acholeplasmatales bacterium. Its description in RNAcentral is "tRNA-Gly". It matches the Rfam family "tRNA". From Rfam's summary of the family: Transfer RNA (tRNA) molecules are approximately 80 nucleotides in length. Lineage: Bacteria; Bacillati; Mycoplasmatota; Mollicutes; Acholeplasmatales. The record is from RNAcentral.